UACGGAAGGGGGCUAGCGUUGCUCGGAAUCACUGGGCGUAAAGGGUGCGUAGGCGGGUCUUUAAGUCAGGGGUGAAAUCCUGGAGCUCAACUCCAGAACUGCCUUUGAUACUGGGCAUCUUGAGUCCGGAAGAGGUAAGUGGAACUGCGAGUGUAGAGGUGAAAUUCGUAGAUAUUCGCAAGAACACCAGUGGCGAAGGCGGCUUACUGGUCCGGUACUGACGCUGAGGUGCGAAAGCGUGGGGAGCAAACAGG
Molecule: ribosomal RNA, 254 nt
Filed under: uncultured bacterium
Lineage: Bacteria
Description: partial 16S ribosomal RNA
Rfam family: Bacterial small subunit ribosomal RNA
Source: RNAcentral